Molecule: long non-coding RNA, 5601 nt
Organism: Neopsephotus bourkii (Bourke's parrot)
Lineage: Eukaryota; Metazoa; Chordata; Aves; Psittaciformes; Psittacidae
Exons: 2
Source: RefSeq, a predicted model, not a curated record
UGAUAAUCACUGGAGACAUCUAGCAAAUGCAUCAAAAAGCAAAGCAAGAAGUUCAGACCGAACAAGUUCUCCUCCAUGCCACCCAGCAGCAUUGGCUUGUCACCACAGAGUCCCUGUGUGGAUUACCUGUGCUGUUCAUAUGCUCACCUGUGGAUAGUAAGUUAUUCCGCUUGCAUGACAGACACGCUUGCUGCCAGCUAUGUUUCUUUGUGUGGGCUGCCCUGUUUUGCUACAGUACUGGUGGGAAUCGUGCCACUGGAGAAGGGACUGAGCCUGCAAACACCAAGAAAGAAACACAAAUCUUAUUUCUGCCUUCUUGAAAAACAGCCCAAGCACCACAAACAUUAUGAAGCAGGAAAAUAAACAUGAGCUGUUCCUACUUAUAGGUCAGGACAAGCUGAUUUUCACACACAGGUCUUUUCAUAGGACUUCCAAGUGUAGGGUAUCUGCAGAUUAAUAGCUGAUAAGUAGUUUUGAAAGCAGCUCUGAGGGAAGGUCUGUACAUUCAUUUGUGAAAUUCUGUUUGCUUAUAAGAUUACAGGAAACUAGUGCUGGAUAGUUGUUAAGCUGAGGACAAACUGGGAUUGCUGUAACUGCUGAUAAGAUCAGUAUAUUUCACACUGGACAUGAAGUAGGUUGAUGCUAAAUGGCUAAUUAGUUCAGAUAUUUAUUUUAAGCUACUUGUCUAUUUCUCUUUCCAUUGCAGCUUGCUUUUGGGAUCACAAGUUUGGGAAAACUGUUGUCAUUUAUAGUGUGUUUGUACCUAGGUCGCUGAAAGUGUGCAGUACAUACUUCCACAACAUGUAUUAAAUCAUAAAAUAAUAUGGGAGACAAGGAGAAAGGUUAAUGUUAGAAAUCUUAGCUUUUUAAAGUAAAAAGUCCUGUACAAUACCGAAGCCAGCAAAGGAGAAUCCUUCCCAUCCACUAUGAAGAGAGCCUUUUGUAAGUUAGUAAAUGACCCCUUGAGUUGAGACUCAAUGACUGAUUUUUCCAAGGCUCCUGUUAAAAAAAACAACAACAGCAAAAUCUUUGAUCUCAUAAAUCACAGUUAUUAUCCCAACUUUACGCCCUACAUUGUUCCGGUAUACAAUUUCUGGAAGUUCCUGUGGAAGUGACACCACAUCAGUGGUAACAUUCCCAAAUGUUACGUGACCUGCCAACAGCCCACCUUUACUAACACAUGCACAAUUCUGUGCCUCUGGCCCGCCACACUCAAAACAGCUCCUAUAGAGACUCAACUGAGUCUACUCUGGCAGUAAAUAUUCACUCAGCAAGGAUUAGAGACGCUGCCUAGGCAGCAUCUUCAUCUUAGUGCAUCAAAUGUGAUGCUGACACAGAUGGAAGAGGAGUAAUCCCAACCUAAAUCCAGGGCAAAGUGUGGUACGUGCUCGUCUGAACAACCGAUCAGCACCGACUUCUCUAUCCACUGUUCUGUCUCUUUGAAUUUCUCCAGGAUCCUUUUAAUCUCUAAACAGCAGGGGAAAGGGGAAGAAAAAUCUGUGAUGAAAGCACAUUCAUACAACCAUUAUGCUCUCUCUGGAUCUUCAAGGCAUAUGCUAUCUUGGCUCAGAGCAGGGUGCUCAUGUGAGAGAGGGAACUAGACAAGUGGUCCCACGUGAAUGGAGACCAGAAGUCUGGCUUUCCUCUUAGCUCUUGGAAUUUUUGACCAUGUCAAGCUAAAGAUGGAAAUGCUGUAAUACCUUGGGAGCAGCUGUCCAUUCUAUUUCUGUCCUACACUAGCCAACACCUUUCUCUCAUUGAAAAUUUCUCCUGUGUUACACCAAAUAACCUUUAUCAGAUAGACCUGGCAUUUUCCCUGCCAGCCCUUUCUCUUCAGUAGGCAUGGUUCCAAAUGUUUAAAAAUGAUCAUCACAAAACACAUCAGGUAUAUGUUGAUACUGUAAGUGUGUGAAGAGCAUGAACUUGUGUCUGCCUGUCAAGGUUUUAAGUCUGAAUAGUCUUUGGUUGUUAACAAAGAGUGUGCAGGAUAUUCCUGCACAGCUUGAUAGAUUUUCAACACCCAUACGAGGGGUUGCUUAUUGCAAAGGACUCUCUAUCGUUUCAGUUGUGUGAUCCAGGAGGUAUUUCCAAACACCUGCUUACCUGCUGCACUGAGCUGUGGUACGAAAUAUUUUUCCCCAACUUUCUGCAGGAAGGGAGAGAGAUUGUGAAAGAGGUAGAAAGUUCCUGAGGUCUGGGCUUGUCUACAAAGGCUGUCAUCUUCCUUUAACUCAUUUAAGUAUCUGAAGUGAGAGAAGAAUUGGGAAGAUGAAUUCAAGAUCAUGUUGAGAUCACCUUGUUAUGCUUAAUUGGACAUACUUACGUUCCAUAGAGCAGGGGGAAGAAAUGGACAGAACAGAUUUUAUGUAUUCCAUAUGCUUCUAGAGUUUCUGACAGCUGAGUCUACUCAUUGGUGGACUGUAGACAUUAGCAAAGGUGCCACGUGGCAGAAAAUCCUGCAGUUGUUACUACAGAAGCAGCCUCAGGUCUUGGACAUCCAAGAACAGUAACCUAGUCUAUUAAUCCAAGAAGUCUGCUUUACAGACAUGAUCAUUUAUGUGCAUGAGACCUUCAUCUUCCCUUUUAUCCUCCCAAUCUAGAUGGCUCCAAGUCCUGUUUUGGAAAGCUACUUGAGCACUUCAGAUAUGGAAUACGCUUCCCAUCAGGCUACAUGCAUUACUGCAGGAUACGUUCUACCUGUCACACUGACAUGAGAGGUAAAGACCAAGCUGAAGUCUUACGGCUCAGUUGGCUGGGGCCUGAAUUAGGAAAAGCAAGUCACUGGAAAAAGGGUGUCAGAAUGUGCUGCUUUCAGACUGUUUGAAGUAGUAUUUAAAAAGAGUUGAGCAGCAUUGCUUCAAGUUUGUUUGUACUUUGAGAUCUUUUGCUAGGACAGCAAACUUAGGCAUUUAUUAACAGAGCUUCAGCCUCAGAGAACCAGUUCUUAUCACUGGUGAACAGAGUGGAGACAUUACUGUUACCAUUUACAGAGCUCUCAUAGCAUUACUACAUCAUUGUUCAGCUCUGAAAAGAUUUAGGUAGGGCUGCUUGUGAAGGUGGAUACAAGGGUACCAAACUCUGGUCUUCUCACUGUACACAAGAACUUACCUCAUUUUUCUAACAUAGGUAGAGUGUAACCUGCAGAUGAGAGAGGAAGCUCUUCUAUACGCUGCUUGAUAAAUUGCAGCCAUAACCAACACCUAAAGGUAGCUGUCUCUGCCUAAAAAGAGAAGCAUAGAAUAUAAUGCAGAGGCCCUACAAAUUUAAGUUUGAUUUAAAGGUGCAAACACCCACUAGCAGAAAUCUCCCUCUCACAGAGUCUGCAGAAUGCUGGCAUCUGCUUUCUAAAAUUACUGCUUUGGUCUUCACUCCUAGUCGCACAUCAAAUCCAGUUUCAGGCAAUGUUUAAGAUUAUUAAAAGAUACCUCAGUUUGUUUCCAUCUGUGACUGUGCACAAGUCUUACAGAAACUGCAGUAAGGCUACAUUGAACGUUCCUGUCCUAAAUGCCUGUAUCCCUGGGGAAAAGAGGAGUGAAGGUGGCUGCUCUCUUUUUUGUUUCCUACACAGUUUGUAAUGGCCUCAAUCCAACUGAAAAUCCUAUUGCAGUACACAGUAGAUCUGUGGGAAAGGCACGGAUGCCAGAAGAGAAUGAAAGACAAAAUAUCAGCUGUGGAAGAGAAUUCCCCAAGUUAGACAAGAGACAGCAGUUGCAGCUGACUUGGAUCAUCUCCAGCUAUGAAUGCUUUUUGUGCUAAACAGUCCUACCACAUUUUCAGCUCAGGCAGUCACAGACUGCAGUCUGAUCUCAACUUGAGGAUGUCAGAAAAUAGCCAGAAAUGCUACCAUCUCUAGCAUUCAUCUGAAAAAAUAAAUAUGAUUCAUAAUCCUUAAUAAUUAUUAGGAUUAUUUCACUUUUCAACCAUAGAACUCGGAGCUCCUUAAGGAGGAAGUUACAUUUGCUUUGAAUUACAGACACAAAAGCAGUGCCAAAGAGUCCUGAGAGUCCUUCCUUUCAGUAAAGGUCAGUGAUGGCUCCAGAGCCUGAGUGAUGCCUGAGCCGAGGCUCCCAUCUGCACAUGCAGUUUUUGUAGCAAGCAGCAUGGAGGCUGUGCCUUGCAGCUUCUGACAUCUUUGCCUCAGAUCCUCUUUCCCAGUGUCUCAGCUGAGUGUGGUCUUCACCAGGGUGAUCCCUGGUGAGACAGGGGAGCCAGGCCUGCUGCAGAAGCUGCUGGGGAGAGCAUUGGCAUCCCUGCUCAGUGCUGCAGCCACAGCAAUGGGAGCUCGGCAUGCUGCCAGCAGGCUCAGGCAGAAGCAUGGGAGGACUGACACCAACACGGAGACCACGUCUGAAACAGUUGUGUGGUGUGAUGAUUAUGUGUCCGUCACUUCUCCACCCCCACAUCUCAUAGAGCCUUGGCUUGUGAAAAUCUGCAGAACAGCAGCAGCCUGUGCUGAAUUCAGGAGCUCUGUACUUUGGAAUGAACAGCAGAGUGCGACUGGGGCAGGGAAAGAGGAAUAGCUUGUACUUGCAAUAAUGAAAUGCAACAUGUGCAGGCGUUUAACCCCUUCCUUCCUAGGAACCACAGUGCCAGAGUUUGGUUAGGAUCAUUGGAAACUUGGAGACAGUAAAAACUUCAUCUCGGGAGGCCAGCCCAAACUCCCAUCUUGCCUUUAAAUCUCACCUAUGCUGUACAGCUGGCAGGAGGUAGAUCUAGGCCUGUCAUUCCCCACACGUUUUCCCCACUUACUGUGCUCAGUGCAGGGGUGCUGUGUCCAGCAGCAGGGAUGAGCUAGCUGUGAGAGUCCCGCGUUGCCCUCGGUUAGCAGCCCUGCUCCUACAACAAACAGCGGAGCAGCUGGCUCCCUGGGUCUGACUCGCUUUUCCCCCACUGGGGGCGCUGGGAAAUGUAGUUCUGCCCAUGCUGCUCGCAAGCCAUUGGCAAAGAUAGAUGGCUGGGUUUUGAUUAACUUCAGGAGUUAGUGAGGAUGCCUGACAGCAAACUCUUUUUAUUUUCCAUACCUGCUUAAUUCUAUCAGGAAACCAGAUGCUGUGUUUUACCAUGCAGAGACAUGAGAACAAUGCUACUGCAGGAAUCUGUGCUGUUCUAGCAGAGAAGUUUGUUCCUGGUAGUUUCUUUCCUUUUUUUCUUCUAAGCUUCUCUGUGUUUUUUUAUCAGUAACAUAAAAGCGCUGUUUAAAGUUAAGAACCAUAUGGCUUCAAACAGCAAAAUAUGCCAAGAGCUGUGUAUAUACCUAAAGGAAGGAGCUGUUUAUAGUGUUGAAGCACCCAAAGCCACAGUUAAAUUUGUACAUGAAUAGUGCUGAUCAGAAAGUGUGCUUUGCCAAGAUAGAUGUCAGAAUAAUGACAAAUUAUUCUCAUGCCUUUAUAGCUGAACAAACAGAUUCCUCCCAAGUACUGAAAACAUUAUUCUGGGCUGGAACCUACCUGCCUAUAUUUAGCACAAAGAGAAUUUUAUAAACAUAUGAAAGUAAGUGUUUUGCUUUUUGGUCAUAAAUUGAGACAUUCUAGUCGAGAAUUCACAUCAUGUAAUUUGAGAGCAUAGCUUGUAAAAAUAAUAAAUAGAACAUGCAGGAAAAUA